RNAcentral lists this ribosomal RNA (142 nucleotides) under uncultured eukaryote. RNAcentral describes it as "partial 18S ribosomal RNA". It matches the Rfam family "Eukaryotic small subunit ribosomal RNA", at positions 1299 to 1458 of the family's 1831-position model. The record is from RNAcentral.
UGGUGGAGCGAUUUGUCUGGUUAAUUCCGAUAACGAACGAGACCUUGGCCAGCUAAAUAGGGCGGGGCGUGUUUGCGCACGCCUGCAUGGCUCUUCUUAGAGGGACUAUCUGUGACUAACAGAUGGAAGAAAGGCAAUAACA